GCCGGUGAAGUUCGUCAUCCAGCUUCUUUGAUUUCUUCGUCAAGUGACGAACUUUCCUUUUGAGAUCUCGGAUCAUGGACAUCAAAGGGAUCCCCUGCGGUAGGGGAAGAGCUUUGGUAGGGAACUGUUGUUGAGAAACAAGAGUGUCACGACACAAAUCAGUGCAAGAAAAUAAAAGAGAAGAAGAAAAAGAAGCUCUCUGUAAAGAAGAAUCUAAUUUCA
Molecule: long non-coding RNA, 222 nt
Filed under: Elaeis guineensis (African oil palm)
Lineage: Eukaryota; Viridiplantae; Streptophyta; Magnoliopsida; Arecales; Arecaceae
Description: long non-coding RNA (EGUI_LNC065546)
Source: RNAcentral